CUGCAAUCGCCAUGUGACCAGGGAAGAAGAUGCCAGUGAAAGGCAUCCUCCAUAAGAUAAGUCUUAUGAUUAUGGAUGAUAAUUAAGACUGAGCUAGCAAGCAUGACCAAGGAUGAGGAUAAAUGACAAUCAAGUUGGGAGAGCCGGAUAAUUUCUCAGUUAUGGGAAGUCAUUUGCCUGCUUCCUUACCAGCCGUAAUGCAGAGAUUCCGCAGACAGUGGAAGGAGAGAGAGUGGUGGUUAAUGCAGAGACUUGUAGCUGGUCACAGUGCUGAGGAUGAGAGACUGAGGUGUCCUCGGCUUCAAAGACCUCAGCCUGCUGCAUAGCAUCUCAUCUGGGAGGCUUAAGUCACCCUAGCCCUCCCAUGUCCGACUGCUGGCUCCACCUCCUUCUGAACUGCUGCUUCUCCAAUCUCCUGUGACUCAAUGAAUGGGUCAGUUGAAUGGCUCUGGCAUUUGCCCUGUUGCCCGGUUCCAGCGUUGGAGCCAUGCCCUACUCCUCUCACAAUCCAGAGAUAACUCACCAGUGAGCAAGGACUGGUGGCUUCACCUUCAAAAUAUUUCUAAGAUGUGAGCAUGGAGGACUGGCCUGGAGGACUUAAACAACCAGCCGUCUCUAGUUCCCACCCAUUUUCUCUAAUUGUUCUCCACACACUAGCCAGAGUGACUUCCUGGGCAGGAAGAGGACACGCCCUCGCCAGCACAUCUGGAAUGGAACCCAAGAUCUCAUGUGGUCUAGGGGCUAGUCUGAUGGCCCUCAGGACUUGCUUCCUAAGCAUCUCUGUCCCUGUCUCUCUGUCUCUCUUCUCUCUUCUCUCUGUCUCUCUGUCUCUCUGUCUCUCUGUCUCUCUCUGUCUGUCUCUCUCUGUCUAUCUCUCGCUCUCUUUCUCCUCAUCCUCUUCCUCCUUGUCACCUUCCCUCCCUCUUGCCCUCUCCAGGAACCACACUGUUGCUAUCUUGGAACACAGAAGGUACACUCUUGCCUCACGUCUCCUGAAGUUUGCUCCUACAGCACAAGGAUACGUUUUCCUCCAGAGAUGUCCAGGGCUUAUUCUCUCAUCUUACAUCGGUAUCGAUUCAGACAUCACAUCUUGUCCCAGGAAGAAACCAGCCUUCUCGAUAUGUUCUAGCACUUUGCUCUGCUCUGUUUUCCUCCCAACACUUUUCACCAUUUGCUCCUCUCUUGUCCAUUGUCUUUUAAUUGUCCAUCUCUCUCAGUAGAACUUAGACCCUCUAGAGGCAGGGGGCUUCAAGCCUUUUGCUUCUUGUUGGAUCUGUGAGGAUACAGCCACACAGCACACUCUCAGCAGCAGCUUUAAGGACAGAUGGAUGGAUAGAUGGACGAACAGACGGAUGGAUGGAGGAUAUGAGCUCAUUUCUUUCUGUGAUAUAUGUGGGUUCUGAGGGACUUGACUCCUUUUUGGAGGAAUACAGCCCCAGCCACACUUGUCCUCUUCAACAGCAACAGCAGAAAUUUGUGAUGAGGGGAGUGUUAACAAGGAAAGGCAUGAGAAAGGAUGAAGAGACGAGAAGAAGUGGCUCAUAAUGGAGAAAAUUUUCCAAAGACAAAUUGGGAGCUCAUUUCCAUCUCUCAGCUGCCUCCUGCUACAUGAUGUCCAUGACAAUUAAAUGCCGCAGAAGAGUGUGGCAGAAUCCAAAUAAACAUCGGUGUGGAAUAAAUUCGUCAUCCCUCCAGCACUGCUGGAGACAGGCAGAGCUCUCCCUCAGGUUUCUGGGACGCAUCACUGGCUAAGGCACUAAUUCACACAAGGACACGAAUAAUGUCAUCUGGAUGAGCUCUUCACUUCAUAGAGCCAAGUUUCCUGUGCCUCCAUCAAGGCCAUCCUGCAGGAGACUGUGCCUGUAGUCUGCUUGGUCCUUCAUUCUUUGCAAAUGAGAGACUCAUUCUUCCAGAUUAUUAGUUUCUUUCUUGUUACUGUGAAAAAAAAUACAUUACAAAAACAAUUUAGGAAGGAGGAUUUGCUUUGGCCCACAGUUUGAGGGAACAGUCUACCAUGAUGUUUAAGUCCAACAAGAUACAUCAUGAAGGCAGGAUGGCAAGAUUAGGUGGCAUCUGUAGUCAAAAGGCAGAGAGAGACGGAUGCUGAUGCUAACGUUGUCUUCUCUCAUUUCCUCUGGAACUCCAGCCUUUGAACGGCACUGGCAACAUAUAGUAUGGGCCUUCCCAUCUCCAUUAGCCCAGUCUAGAAAAUCCAUCACAGAUAUGCCCAAAGAUUUGUCUCCUCAAUGGCUCUAAGUCCUGUCAAAUUGACAAUCAAUAUCAACCACCACACCAAGGUACUAAGAGUGAUGGCUACUUAUGGCUCUUCAUUGAGCCUGGGCAUUGCUCUCAGCCCAAGUUACCCCAAGCCUCAAGCCCCAACUCCUCAGAUCUCAAUGACUGGUAGUUGUGGGGAGGGCAGUCUCAAGGUGGGAUGCCCUGGAGGGGUUAACCCAGCUCCAGAGUUCUCCAGAGGAUAAACUGACACUGUCAUGUUGCUGUUCAGUUGGUCUUUUUGCCUGAACCUGUGUUAUCUGUCCUUUCCAGAUAUUGUUCCUAAAUACUGUCCUUAAUAAAGCUCCUGUUUUCUGAUCAUAGGGGAUCAACCUAUGACACCCUCAAAUAAUUUCAUGAUACAUGGUUGUUGGUCUGCUGGGACAGUGACAUGCUAAGCCCUCAGAAGUUGAAAGGGUCCCCAUACUGGUCCACAUCUCCAAGCCAGAUGUUUAGUUAUAAGCAGCAUUUUCCAGUUACCCCAGAGGUGAAGUAAGUACUUGACAAAUUUGGGGUGACGCAGUGAGAACUGGGACCAGGAAAGAGUAACAGGUUUAGCGACAAUGGUAGCCUUGUCUUCUUUGUAAUUCUGAGGAUGCGUGUCUCAGUCUCUGACAAUGUGGUUGGAAGGCUCCCUGUUCUGCAAACUAAGGGGCCCAGAUACACUCCUCAGAGAACAUCUGAAGCUGCAAAGUAGCUGGCCUGUGAACGAGAGGGUCUUCAUUCCCAUGUAGCUGAUGGCAUAAUCCUGGUGUUUGCUCUCGUUCCUGCUACCUCUCUGUGUAUGGGCAGCCAAGCUCUUCCUUUCUUGUACAAGAUACAUGAAGAGUUACACUCAAGGCUUCCUGGAGGCUGUAUCCAGA
Molecule: long non-coding RNA, 3137 nt
Filed under: Cricetulus griseus (Chinese hamster)
Lineage: Eukaryota; Metazoa; Chordata; Mammalia; Rodentia; Cricetidae
Description: lncRNA (ENSCGRG00015033215.1)
Source: RNAcentral